This 75-nucleotide transfer RNA is filed under the name Anguilla anguilla (European eel). It matches the Rfam family "tRNA". From Rfam's summary of the family: Transfer RNA (tRNA) molecules are approximately 80 nucleotides in length. Their secondary structure includes four short double-helical elements and three loops (D, anti-codon, and T loops). Further hydrogen bonds mediate the characteristic L-shaped molecular structure. tRNAs have two regions of fundamental functional importance: the anti-codon, which is responsible for specific mRNA codon recognition, and the 3' end, to which the tRNAs corresponding amino acid is attached (by aminoacyl-tRNA synthetases). tRNAs cope with the degeneracy of the genetic code in two manners: having more than one tRNA (with a specific anti-codon) for a particular amino acid; and 'wobble' base-pairing, i.e. permitting non-standard base-pairing at the 3rd anti-codon position. The record is from Rfam by way of RNAcentral. Lineage: Eukaryota; Metazoa; Chordata; Actinopteri; Anguilliformes; Anguillidae.
GCCCAGAUAGCUCAGUCAGUACUGAGUGUCAGACUUUAAAUUUGUGGUUCCAGAGUUCAAGUCCCUGUUUGGGAA